This 226-nucleotide ribosomal RNA is filed under the name uncultured bacterium. RNAcentral's name for it is "partial 16S ribosomal RNA". It matches the Rfam family "Bacterial small subunit ribosomal RNA", at positions 524 to 749 of the family's 1533-position model. The record is from RNAcentral.
UACGAAGGGGGCUAGCGUUGCUCGGAAUCACUGGGCGUAAAGCGCACGUAGGCGGAUCUUUAAGUCAGGGGUGAAAUCCUGGAGCUCAACUCCAGAACUGCCUUUGAUACUGGGGAUCUCGAGUCCGGAAGAGGUGAGUGGAACUCCGAGUGUAGAGGUGAAAUUCGUAGAUAUUCGGAAGAACACCAGUGGCGAAGGCGGCUCACUGGUCCGGUACUGACGCUGA